This 583-nucleotide ribosomal RNA is filed under the name uncultured bacterium. RNAcentral describes it as "partial 16S ribosomal RNA". It matches the Rfam family "Bacterial small subunit ribosomal RNA", at positions 355 to 937 of the family's 1533-position model. The record is from RNAcentral.
UGGGGAAUUUUGGACAAUGGGCGAAAGCCUGAUCCAGCAAUGCCGCGUGUGUGAAGAAGGCCUUCGGGUUGUAAAGCACUUUUGUCCGGAAAGAAAUCCUUGGCUCUAAUACAGUCGGGGGAUGACGGUACCGGAAGAAUAAGCACCGGCUAACUACGUGCCAGCAGCCGCGGUAAUACGUAGGGUGCAAGCGUUAAUCGGAAUUACUGGGCGUAAAGCGUGCGCAGGCGGUUUGCUAAGACCGAUGUGAAAUCCCCGGGCUCAACCUGGGAACUGCAUUGGUGACUGGCAGGCUAGAGUAUGGCAGAGGGGGGUAGAAUUCCACGUGUAGCAGUGAAAUGCGUAGAGAUGUGGAGGAAUACCGAUGGCGAAGGCAGCCCCUGGGCCAAUACUGACGCUCAUGCACGAAAGCGUGGGGAGCAAACAGGAUUAGAUACCCUGGUAGUCCACGCCCUAAACGAUGUCAACUAGUUGUUGGGGAUUCAUUUCCUUAGUAACGUAGCUAACGCGUGAAGUUGACCGCCUGGGGAGUACGGUCGCAAGAUUAAAACUUAAAUGAAUUGACGGGGUCAUAGCUGUUCCU